Molecule: ribosomal RNA, 459 nt
Filed under: uncultured bacterium
Lineage: Bacteria
Description: SSU rRNA
Rfam family: Bacterial small subunit ribosomal RNA
Source: RNAcentral
AGAACGAACGUUGGCGGCGUGGAUUAGGCAUGUAAGUCGCGGGAAUCCAGCAAUGGGGAACCGGCGUAAGGGGCAGUAAUGCGUGGGUACCUACCCUGGGGUCUGGGAUAGCCGUCCGAGAGGGCGGGUAAUACCGGAUGAUCUCGGGAGAGCAAAGCUCCGGCGCCCUGGGAGGGGCCCACGUGAUAUUAGCUAGUUGGCGGGGUAACGGCCCACCAAGGCGGAGAUGUCUAGCGGGUGUGAGAGCACGACCCGCGCCACUCGCACUGAGACACUGGCGAGACACCUACGGGUGGCUGCAGUCGAGGAUCUUCGGCAAUGUGCGCAAGCACGACCGAGCGACGCCGCGUGGGCGACGAAGGCCUUCGGGUUGUAAAGCCCUGUCGAGGGGGAGAAAAGCCCGUAAGGGUGUGAUCUAUCCCUGGAGGAAGCUCGGGCUAAGUUCGUGCCAGCAGCCGC